This 450-nucleotide ribosomal RNA is filed under the name uncultured bacterium. RNAcentral describes it as "partial 16S ribosomal RNA". It matches the Rfam family "Bacterial small subunit ribosomal RNA", at positions 338 to 795 of the family's 1533-position model. The record is from RNAcentral.
CCUACGGGUGGCUGCAGCUAAGAAUCUUCCGCAAUGGGGGAAACCCUGACGGAGCGACGCCGCGUGGACGAUGAAGGCCGUAAGGUUGUAAAGUCCUUUUGUUGGUGAAGAAUGAUGCGUGGAGUGGAAAGCCACGCAGAUGACGUUAGCCGACGAAUAAGCCCCGGCCAAUUACGUGCCAGCAGCCGCGGUAAUACGUAUGGGGCAAGCGUUGUUCGGGGGUGUUGGGCGGGCUGGGCGUGUCGGCGGCGAAAAUGCAGGGCCCAACCCUGCAAAUGCGCUGGAAACUGGUGGGCUAGAGUUCCUGAGGGGAAGCUGGAAUUCCAGGUGUAGGGGUGAAAUCUGUAGAUAUCUGGAAGAACACCGGUGGCGAAGGCGAGCUUCUAUCAGAGGACUGACGCUGAGGCGCGAAAGCGUGGGGAGCAAACAGGAUUAGAUACCCGAGUAGUC